RNAcentral lists this ribosomal RNA (518 nucleotides) under Diaporthales sp. RNAcentral describes it as "partial large subunit ribosomal RNA". It matches the Rfam family "Eukaryotic large subunit ribosomal RNA", at positions 69 to 605 of the family's 3401-position model. The record is from RNAcentral. Lineage: Eukaryota; Fungi; Ascomycota; Sordariomycetes; Diaporthales.
CAGGGAUUGCCUUAGUAACGGCGAGUGAAGCGGCAACAGCUCAAAUUUGAAAUCUGGCCCCUAGGGUCCGAGUUGUAAUUUGUAGAGGAUGUUUUUGGCACGGUGCCUUCCGAGUUCCCUGGAACGGGACGCCACAGAGGGUGAGAGCCCCGUAUGGUUGGACACUAAGCCUCUGUAAAGCUCCUUCAACGAGUCGAGUAGUUUGGGAAUGCUGCUCUAAAUGGGAGGUAAAUCUCUUCUAAAGCUAAAUACUGGCCAGAGACCGAUAGCGCACAAGUAGAGUGAUCGAAAGAUGAAAAGCACCUUGAAAAGGGGGUUAAACAGUACGUGAAAUUGUUGAAAGGGAAGCACUUGUCACCAGACGUGCGCCGGGCGGUUCAUCAGAGGCUUUGCCCCUGUGUAUGCCGUCCGGUUCAGGCUAGCAUCGGUUUUCGCUGGGGGAGAAGAACAGUUGGAACGUGGCUCGCCUUCGGGGGAGUGUUAUAGCCUUCUGUACGAUGCCCUGGCGGGGACUGAGG